This 465-nucleotide ribosomal RNA is filed under the name uncultured bacterium. RNAcentral's name for it is "partial 16S ribosomal RNA". It matches the Rfam family "Bacterial small subunit ribosomal RNA", at positions 28 to 507 of the family's 1533-position model. The record is from RNAcentral.
GACGAACGCUGGCGGCGUGCUUAACACAUGCAAGUCGAACGGAAAGGCCCCCUUGUGGGGUACUCGAGUGGCGAACGGGUGAGUAACACGUGAGUAACCUACCCUUGACUUUGGGAUAACUUCAGGAAACUGGGGCUAAUACCGGAUAGGAGCUCCUGCUGCAUGGUGGGGGUUGGAAAGUUUUGGCGGUUGGGGAUGUACUCGCGGCUUAUCAGCUUGUUGGUGGGGUAGUGGCUCACCAAGGCUUUGACGGGUAGCCGGCCUGAGAGGGUGACCGGCCACAUUGGGACUGAGAUACGGCCCAGACUCCUACGGGAGGCAGCAGUGGGGAAUAUUGCACAAUGGGCGGAAGCCUGAUGCAGCAACGCCGCGUGCGGGAUGACGGCCUUCGGGUUGUAAACCGCUUUCGCCUGUGACGAAGCGUGAGUGACGGUAAUGGGUAAAGAAGCACCGGCUAACUACGUG